CCUGGCUCAGGAUGAACGCUAGCUACAGGCUUAACACAUGCAAGUCGAGGGGCAUCAGGAAGAAAGCUUGCUUUCUUUGCUGGCGACCGGCGCACGGGUGAGUAACACGUAUCCAACCUGCCCUUUACUCGGGGAUAGCCUUUCGAAAGAAAGAUUAAUACCCGAUAGUAUAAUGAUUCCGCAUGGUUUCAUUAUUAAAGGAUUCCGGUAAAGGAUGGGGAUGCGUUCCAUUAGGUUGUUGGUGAGGUAACGGCUCACCAAGCCUUCGAUGGAUAGGGGUUCUGAGAGGAAGGUCCCCCACAUUGGAACUGAGACACGGUCCAAACUCCUACGGGAGGCAGCAGUGAGGAAUAUUGGUCAAUGGGCGCUAGCCUGAACUAGCCAAGUAGCGUGAAGGAUGAAGGCUCUAUGGGUCGUAAACUUCUUUUAUAUAAGAAUAAAGUGCAGUAUGUAUACUGUUUUGUAUGUAUUAUAUGAAUAAGGAUCGGCUAACUCCGUGCCAGCAGCCGCGGUAAUACGGAGGAUCCGAGCGUUAUCCGGAUUUAUUGGGUUUAAAGGGAGCGUAGGUGGACUGGUAAGUCAGUUGUGAAAGUUUGCGGCUCAACCGUAAAAUUGCAGUUGAUACUGUCAGUCUUGAGUACAGUAGAGGUGGGCGGAAUUCGUGGUGUAGCGGUGAAAUGCUUAGAUAUCACGAAGAACUCCGAUUGCGAAGGCAGCUCACUGGACUGCAACUGACACUGAUGCUCGAAAGUGUGGGUAUCAAACAGGAUUAGAUACCCUGGUAGUCCACACAGUAAACGAUGAAUACUCGCUGUUUGCGAUAUACAGUAAGCGGCCAAGCGAAAGCAUUAAGUAUUCCACCUGGGGAGUACGCCGGCAACGGUGAAACUCAAAGGAAUUGACGGGGGCCCGCACAAGCGGAGGAACAUGUGGUUUAAUUCGAUGAUACGCGAGGAACCUUACCCGGGCUUAAAUUGCAGUGGAAUGAUGUGGAAACAUGUCAGUGAGCAAUCACCGCUGUGAAGGUGCUGCAUGGUUGUCGUCAGCUCGUGCCGUGAGGUGUCGGCUUAAGUGCCAUAACGAGCGCAACCCUUAUCUUUAGUUACUAACAGGUCAUGCUGAGGACUCUAGAGAGACUGCCGUCGUAAGAUGUGAGGAAGGUGGGGAUGACGUCAAAUCAGCACGGCCCUUACGUCCGGGGCUACACACGUGUUACAAUGGGGGGUACAGAAGGCAGCUAGCGGGUGACCGUAUGCUAAUCCCAAAAGCCUCUCUCAGUUCGGAUCGAAGUCUGCAACCCGACUUCGUGAAGCUGGAUUCGCUAGUAAUCGCGCAUCAGCCACGGCGCGGUGAAUACGUUCCCGGGCCUUGUACACACCGCCC
This 1383-nucleotide ribosomal RNA is filed under the name uncultured bacterium. RNAcentral describes it as "bacterial SSU rRNA". It matches the Rfam family "Bacterial small subunit ribosomal RNA", at positions 18 to 1395 of the family's 1533-position model. The record is from RNAcentral.